This 29-nucleotide non-coding RNA is filed under the name Homo sapiens (human). Lineage: Eukaryota; Metazoa; Chordata; Mammalia; Primates; Hominidae. The record is from RNAcentral.
CAACACAGUGUCUAUCAGCUCCGAGCCAC